GCGGUUAUACCAAGUGAUUAAGUUAUAUUUCUAGGUAAAAAGACAGUUAGGUUUAUAAAGCAAUUUUAGUUCAUUAAAUAUCUUUAAAAAAGUAAAAUUUGUAUAUAGAUAGCUAAUYUAAUAAUAACUAUAAUUCUGAAGCUGUGAUAGUUUUGAGGGAAACUGGGAUUAGAUACCCCAUUAUUCUUGACUGUAAACAUAAUUAGAUUUACCAGAGUACUAUGAAUAGCUAAAAAUUUAAAACUCAAAGGGCUUGGCGGUGUUUUAGACCUAUCAGGGGAACCUGUCUCAUAAUCGACAAUCCACGUAAUAUCUAACCUUAUUUUGUAAUCAGUUUGUAUACCGUCGUCGUCAGGUAACUUUUAAAAAUAUAGAAGUUAGCAAUUAAAAUUACUUUAAGUUAAAACGUCAGAUCAAGGUGCAGCCUAUAAUAAGGAGAGGAUGGGUUACAGUUAUAAAAGUUAUAAUUACGGAAAUUUAAAUGAAACUUAUUUUGAAGGAGGACUUGAAAGUAAACUAAAAUACAUAAAUAGUUUGAAUAAGGCUCUG
RNAcentral lists this ribosomal RNA (549 nucleotides) under Nassarius irus. RNAcentral's name for it is "partial 12S ribosomal RNA". The record is from RNAcentral. Lineage: Eukaryota; Metazoa; Mollusca; Gastropoda; Neogastropoda; Nassariidae.